RNAcentral lists this transfer RNA (28 nucleotides) under Elaphoglossum asterolepis. RNAcentral's name for it is "partial tRNA-Ser". Lineage: Eukaryota; Viridiplantae; Streptophyta; Polypodiopsida; Polypodiales; Dryopteridaceae. The record is from RNAcentral.
AAGAAAGGGAAGGGGAGGGAUUCAAACC